GGAUUAAUGCCCCGUGGUACUAUUAUGUGGCAUCACAUUAUAGUUAAAGCCUUCGGGCGGUAGAAGAUGGCCAUGCGUCCCAUUAGUUUGUUGGUAAGGUAACGGCUUACCAAGACUACGAUGGGUAGGGGCCCUGAGAGGGGGAUCCCCCACACUGGUACUGAGACACGGACCAGACUCCUACGGGAGGCAGCAGUGAGGAAUAUUGGACAAUGGAGGAGACUCUGAUCCAGCCAUGCCGCGUGCAGGAAGAAUGCCCUAUGGGUAGUAAACUGCUUUUAUACAGGAAGAAAAAGGGGCACGUGUGCCCUACUGACGGUACUGUAAGAAUAAGG
RNAcentral lists this ribosomal RNA (335 nucleotides) under Pibocella sp. SL14. RNAcentral describes it as "bacterial SSU rRNA". It matches the Rfam family "Bacterial small subunit ribosomal RNA", at positions 160 to 491 of the family's 1533-position model. Lineage: Bacteria; Pseudomonadati; Bacteroidota; Flavobacteriia; Flavobacteriales; Flavobacteriaceae. The record is from RNAcentral.